UACGGAGGGUGCAAGCGUUGUUCGGAAUUAUUGGGCGUAAAGCGCGUGUAGGCGGUCAUGUAAGUCAGAUGUGAAAUCCUUCCGCUUAACGGGAGAAGUGCAUUUGAAACUACAUGACUGGAGUACGGGAGAGGAGAGUGGAAUUCCCGGUGUAGAGGUGAAAUUCGUAGAUAUCGGGAGGAACACCAGUGGCGAAGGCGGCUCUCUGGCCUGAUACUGACGCUGAGACGCGAAAGCGUGGGGAGCAAACAGG
RNAcentral lists this ribosomal RNA (253 nucleotides) under uncultured bacterium. Its description in RNAcentral is "partial 16S ribosomal RNA". It matches the Rfam family "Bacterial small subunit ribosomal RNA", at positions 524 to 776 of the family's 1533-position model. The record is from RNAcentral.